ACGAACGCUGGCGGCAUGCCUAACACAUGCAAGUCGAACGAAGCCUUCGGGCUUAGUGGCGCACGGGUGCGUAACGCGUGGGAAUCUACCCUUCGGUUGGGAAUAACACAGAGAAAUUUGUGCUAAUACCUUAUAAUGUCUACGGACCAAAGAUUUAUCGCCGAGGGAUGAGCCCGCGUAGGAUUAGCUAGUUGGUGGGGUAAUGGCCUACCAAGGCGACGAUCCUUAGCUGGUCUGAGAGGAUGAUCAGCCACACUGGGACUGAGACACGGCCCAGACUCCUACGGGAGGCAGCAGUGGGGAAUAUUGGACAAUGGGCGAAAGCCUGAUCCAGCAAUGCCGCGUGAGUGAUGAAGGCCUUAGGGUUGUAAAGCUCUUUUACCCGGGAUGAUAAUGACAGUACCGGGAGAAUAAGCUCCGGCUAACUCCGU
Molecule: ribosomal RNA, 431 nt
Filed under: uncultured bacterium
Lineage: Bacteria
Description: bacterial SSU rRNA
Rfam family: Bacterial small subunit ribosomal RNA
Source: RNAcentral